CUACGGGCUGCACCAGUGAGGAAUAUUGCACAAUGGAGGAAACUCUGAUGCAGCAACGCCGCGUGGAGGAUGACGCAUUUCGGUGUGUAAACUCCUUUUAUAUGUCAAGAAAAUGACGGUAGCAUAUGAAUAAGCACCGGCUAACUCCGUGCCAGGCAGCCGCGGUAAUACGGAGGGUGCAAGCGUUACUCGGAAUCACUGGGCGUAAAGGACGCGUAGGCGGGAUAUCAAGUCAGGUGUGAAAUCCUACAGCUUAACUGUAGAACUGCACUCGAAACUGGUAACCUAGAGUAUGGGAGGGGGAGAUGGAAUUAGUGGUGUAGGGGUAAAAUCCGUAGAUAUCACUAGGAAUACCUAAAGCGAAGGCGAUCUCCUGGAACAUAACUGACGCUAAGGCGUGAAAGCGUGGGGAGCAAACAGGAUUAGAUACCCUCGUAGUC
Molecule: ribosomal RNA, 440 nt
Filed under: uncultured bacterium
Lineage: Bacteria
Description: partial 16S ribosomal RNA
Rfam family: Bacterial small subunit ribosomal RNA
Source: RNAcentral